CUCCAUUUCCUUCAAAAUUUAAAUUCUUUUAAGAAAGGGCAAAAAAAAAGAAAAAAAGAAAACAGUCUAAUAAGCUGUCUAUUGCAAGGGUCUUUCUUUCAUUUUUUUUUAAUAAGAAAAUGUUUAAUUAUCAUAAAAUCUGUUAAGAUGUCAAAAUCAUCCUAUAGCCUCCAUAAAUAGAGGUUUUAUAACUUCUAUGACACUUGUCUCUCUCUUCCUCCCUCCCACCGUCCUAUAUCACUCGCUUCUCCUAAAUAAACUCUUUUUUCUUUGCAUUUCAUCCUGGCUUCCGAAUAAUUACUUUCCACAUCACCAGUGUUCAUUGAGAAUCUCUGGCUUUGCAUAGAGCAAUGNNN
RNAcentral lists this long non-coding RNA (356 nucleotides) under Citrus x clementina. RNAcentral's name for it is "Citrus clementina (C. clementina) long non-coding RNA (CCLE_LNC002106)". The record is from RNAcentral. Lineage: Eukaryota; Viridiplantae; Streptophyta; Magnoliopsida; Sapindales; Rutaceae.